UACGGAGGGUGCAAGCGUUAAUCGGAAUUACUGGGCGUAAAGCGUGCGUAGGCGGCUCGUUAAGUCAGAUGUGAAAGCCCCGGGCUCAACCUGGGAACUGCAUUUGAAACUGAUGAGCUAGAGUUGAGUAGAGGUAAGUGGAAUUUCAGGUGUAGCGGUGAAAUGCGUAGAUAUCUGAAGGAACACCAGUGGCGAAGGCGACUUACUGGACUCAAACUGACGCUGAGGUACGAAAGCGUGGGUAGCAAACAGG
RNAcentral lists this ribosomal RNA (253 nucleotides) under uncultured bacterium. Its description in RNAcentral is "partial 16S ribosomal RNA". It matches the Rfam family "Bacterial small subunit ribosomal RNA", at positions 524 to 776 of the family's 1533-position model. The record is from RNAcentral.